Long non-coding RNA from Scophthalmus maximus (turbot), 627 nucleotides. RefSeq lists it as uncharacterized. The record is from RefSeq and is a predicted model, not a curated record. The transcript has 3 exons. Lineage: Eukaryota; Metazoa; Chordata; Actinopteri; Pleuronectiformes; Scophthalmidae.
UUUUGGACCAACAUAAACGUCGCACAGGUGACCGUAGUGGCAAGAGGAGGAGCCUUAAAGAGCCCUGUCUUUGUCUAUAGCGCCGCCAGCAGGGUUGGAUCAAAUGUUCCAGGUCUGUUAACGGUAAAGUAAGCAGAGCAAACGGUCCAUCGUCGGGAGGCCACGAAGAGCGGUGAUUUGUUCGUGGUCGUCCGAUCCAGCCCUGUGCCAAAUCACCCAGAAGCAGAUGCCCCUGAUCCAGCUCCCUGGCACCUCCUCGGCCCACCCUCCUCUCUCCUGGCCGGACGGCUCCGGAGUCAUGGGAAUCAGGGAUGCUGUCACUCAUCAUCAGCCAGUCAAGUGGGACGCCAGAGCUUUAUAUGGAUGCCGGAGCGGAGAGGCUAGGAAUGACGACCAGCCAGCGGCUGUGGAUCCCCCAGCUGCUGGUCCUGUUAUUGUUAGUUGUCCCAAAAAGAGUGCACCGGCGAGGACCGAGCAACAGAAACGGCUGCAACUUCUCCCGAUGAUAAAUGAAUCUGUCAUGCAUUUGUGUAUGGUGGCUGCACCUGGAUGUCCAUGCUGAACGACACGGACAGAGUCUGUCCACAUCGGAGCCAGUGAGCAGGAAGUCGACACAUUUCACACCAU